AAGGAGCCUUUUUACAUAUUUUUUUCAGUGAAACCUGGUCAGGUCGGGAACGAAGCAGCCAUAAUUGUUAAAAAUAGUGUUAAAUCAAGGCUCCUAAAG
This 99-nucleotide signal recognition particle RNA is filed under the name Bordetella sp. RNAcentral describes it as "signal recognition particle sRNA small type". It matches the Rfam family "Bacterial small signal recognition particle RNA". Rfam says of the family: The signal recognition particle (SRP) is a universally conserved ribonucleoprotein involved in the co-translational targeting of proteins to membranes. Archaeal SRP consists of a 7S RNA and homologues of the eukaryotic SRP19 and SRP54 proteins. Lineage: Bacteria; Pseudomonadati; Pseudomonadota; Betaproteobacteria; Burkholderiales; Alcaligenaceae. The record is from RNAcentral.